This 465-nucleotide ribosomal RNA is filed under the name uncultured bacterium. Its description in RNAcentral is "bacterial SSU rRNA". It matches the Rfam family "Bacterial small subunit ribosomal RNA", at positions 338 to 795 of the family's 1533-position model. The record is from RNAcentral.
CCUACGGGAUGCACUAGUGGGGAAUAUUGCACAAUGGGGGAAACCCUGAUGCAGCCAUGCCGCGUGUAUGAAGAAGGCCCUAGGGUUGUAAAGUACUUUCAGUCGGGAGGAAGGCGUUGAUGCUAAUAUCAUCAGCGAUUGACGUUACCGACAGAAGAAGCACCGGCUAACUCCGUGCCAGCAGCCGCGGUAAUACGGAGGGUGCAAGCGUUAAUCGGAGUUACUGGGCGUAAAGCGCACGCAGGCGGUUGAUUAAGUUAGAUGUGAAAUCCCCGGGCUUAACCUGGGAAUGGCAUCUAAGACUGGUCAGCUAGAGUCUUGUAGAGGGGGGUAGAAUUCCAUGUGUAGCGGUGAAAUGCGUAGAGAUGUGGAGGAAUACCGGUGGCGAAGGCGGCCCCCUGGACAAAGACUGACGCUCAGGUGCGAAAGCGUGGGGAGCAAACAGGAUUAGAUACCCCUGUAGUC